GUAUCUUUUAAAGAUUAUUUAAAUAAAAAGCUUUAAUCUGUUCUUAUCAACUUAAUAUCUGGUACGCCUCCCAUUGCGAGACCAGUAUAUUAAACUAUUAUUUGGAACACGGUAGAUUGUUAGGAGCUUGCUCCACUUCUACCGCGGAUUGACUCAGUGUUGCAGUACAGCUGGGAUUGGCCCUGUCAAA
Small nuclear RNA from Chrysoperla carnea, 190 nucleotides. RefSeq annotates it as U2 spliceosomal RNA. Lineage: Eukaryota; Metazoa; Arthropoda; Insecta; Neuroptera; Chrysopidae. The record is from RefSeq and is a predicted model, not a curated record. The transcript has a single exon.